Molecule: long non-coding RNA, 1239 nt
Organism: Hippocampus zosterae (dwarf seahorse)
Lineage: Eukaryota; Metazoa; Chordata; Actinopteri; Syngnathiformes; Syngnathidae
Exons: 3
Source: RefSeq, a predicted model, not a curated record
UCUUUUUGGAUCAGAUGAGGAAUACAAACCAACUAAGACAUCCUCUGAGUCGAGUGAUGACGAGGAGAUAUUCCAUCCAAAGGUAGAAAAAUUGUUCUCUUAUGAUACAUCCAGUGAAGACUCUACAAGUCAUCAGACAUAUGAAGCAGAGGAGCACAGUCAUGUCUGCAAUUCGUAAAGAAGCCCCAAAAAGGGAAAAGCAUCUCUCCAAAAGAGGGAAGACUGAAUUGGAUGAUUCGAGUCCAGGCGGGGACCCUGGCGGUCCGAUCCUUGGCUGCAGACGCUAGCUCUUGGGACAUGGAAUGUCACCUCUCUGGCAGGGAAGGAGCCCGAGCUGGUGUGUGAGGCAGAGAAUUUCCGACUGGAUAUAGUCGGACUUGCCUCCACACACAGCCUGGGUUCUGGUACCAGUUCUCUCGAGAGGGGUUGGACUCUCUUCCACUCUGGAGUUGCUCACGGUGAGAGGCGCAGAGCAGGUGUGGGCAUACUCAUUGCCCCCCGCCUCAGUGCCUGUACAUUGGGGUUCACACCGGUAGACGAGAGGGUUGCCUCCCUCCGCCUUCGGGUGGGUGGACGGGUCCUGACUGUUGUUUGUGCAUAUGCACCAAACAGCAGCUCAGCAUACCCACCCUUUUUGGAGUCCUUGGAGGGUGUGCUGGAGAGUACUCCUGCUGGGGACUCCAUUGUUCUGCUGGGGGACUUCAAUGCUCACGUGGGCAAUGACAGUGAUACCUGGAGGGGCGUGAUUGGGAGGAACGGCCCCCCCGAUCAAAACCCGAGUGGUGUUUUGUUAUUGGACUUCUGUGCUCGUCACGGAUUGUCCAUAACGAACACCUUGUUCAAACAUAAGGGUGUCCAUAUGUGCACUUGGCACCAGGACACCCUAGGCCGCAGUUCGAUGAUCGACUUUGUAGUUGUAUCAUCGGAUUUGCGGCCGCAUGUUCUGGACACUCGGGUGAAGAGAGGGGCGGAGCUGUCAACUGAUCACCACCUGGUGGUGAGGAGGCUCCGAUGGUGGGGGAAGAUGCCGGUCCGUCCUGGCAGACCCAAACGUAUAGUGAGGGUUUGUUGGGAGCGUCUGGCGGAAUCCCCUGUCAGAAGGAGUUUCAACUCCCACCUCCGACAGAGCUUUUCCCAUGUUCCGGGGGAGACGGGGGACAUUGAGUCCGAGUGGACCAUGUUCCGUGCCUCUAUUGUUGAGGCGGCCAAUCUGAGUUGUGGCCGUAAGGUGGUUGGUGC